GCCAGGUGUUGUGGCACGUACCUGUAAUCCCAGCUACAUGGGAGGCUGAGGCAGGAGGAUUGCUUAAGCCCAGGGAGUUUGAGUUUGGGACCAGCUUGGACAGCAUAGCAAGAUCCUGUCUCUAAAAAAAAAAAAAAAGAAAAGCCAGGGACAGUGGCUCAUGCCUAUAAUCCCAGCACUUUGGGAGGCUGAUGUCUGAGGUGGUAGGAUUGCUUGAGGCCAGGAGGAGUUCAAGACCAGCCUGGGCAACAUAGUAAGACCCUGUCUCU
This 269-nucleotide small RNA is filed under the name Pan troglodytes (chimpanzee). RNAcentral's name for it is "Metazoan signal recognition particle RNA (ENSPTRG00000048231.1)". Lineage: Eukaryota; Metazoa; Chordata; Mammalia; Primates; Hominidae. The record is from RNAcentral.